Molecule: non-coding RNA, 813 nt
Organism: Pelobates cultripes (western spadefoot toad)
Lineage: Eukaryota; Metazoa; Chordata; Amphibia; Anura; Pelobatidae
Source: the annotation of a GenBank genome assembly
GACAGGGAUCAGUGGCAGUUAGUGAUGGAGAGAGGGAUUAGAGCAGACAGGGAUCAGUGGCAGUUAGUAAUGUGGAGGAGAAACAGAUCAGUGGCAGUUAGUGAUGAGGAGAGGAAGAGGAGUAGACAGUGAUCGAUGUCAGUGAGGGAUGGAGAGAGGGGUUCGAGCAGAUAUGGAUCAGUGGCAGUUAGUGAGGAGGAGAGGGAUAGGAGCAGACAGAGAUCAAUGGCGGUUAGUGAGGAGGAGAGGGAUAGGAGCAGACAGGGAUCAGUAGCAGUUAGUGAGGAGGAGGGGGAUAGGAGCAGACAGAGAUCAGUAGCAGUUAGUGAUGGAGAGGAGACAUGGAUCAAUGGCAGUUAGGGAUGUGGAGAAGGAUAAGAGCAGACAGGGAUUGAUGGCAGUUAAGCGAUGUGGAGAAGGAUAAGAGCAGAUGGGGAUUAGUGUCAGAAGGCACACACAGUGCUGGGACUGGGGGGAACAUUUCCAGAAGGCACAGACAGUGCUGGGACUGGGGGGAACAUUUCCAGAAGGCACAGACAGUGCUGGGACUGGGGGGAACAUUUCCAGAAGGCACACACAGUGCUGGGACAGGGGGAACAUUUCCAGAAGGCGCACACAGUGCUGGGACUGUGGGGAACAUUUCCAGAAGGCACACACAGUGCUGGGACUGGGGGGAACAUUUCCAGAAGGCACACACAGUGCUGGGACAGGGGGAACAUUUCCAGAAGGCACACACAGUGCUGGGACAGGGGGAAACAUUUCCAGAAGGCGCACACAGUGCUGGGACUGGGGGAAACAUUUCCAGAAGGCACA